RNAcentral lists this ribosomal RNA (691 nucleotides) under uncultured bacterium. RNAcentral's name for it is "partial 16S ribosomal RNA". It matches the Rfam family "Bacterial small subunit ribosomal RNA", at positions 8 to 694 of the family's 1533-position model. The record is from RNAcentral.
AGAGUUUGAUCCUGGCUCAGGACGAACGCUGGCGGCNNGCCUAACACNNGCAAGUCGAACGGGGCCAGGGGCAACUCUGGUUCAGUGGCGGACGGGUGCGUAACANNNGAGGAACAUGUCUUUCGGUGGGGGAUAGCCGGCCCAACGGCCGGGUAAUACCGCAUACGCUGCUCGGAGCUCCUGCUCUGAGUCGGAAAGCAGCAAUGCGCCNAUUGAGUGCCUCGCGGCCUAUCAGCUAGUUGGUNAGGUAAUGGCNCACCAAGGCGACGACGGGUAGCUGGUCUGAGAGGAUGGCCAGCCACAUUGGGACUGAGACACGNCCCANACUCCUACGGGAGGCAGCAGUGGGGAAUAUUGCGCAAUGGGCGAAAGCCUGACGCAGCGACGCCGCGUGUGGGAUGACGGCCUUCGGGUUGUAAACCUCUUUCANGAGGNACGAAGCCACUCGGGUUAAUACCNCAGAGGGUGACGGUACCUCCAGAAGAAGCCCCGGCUAACUACGUGCCAGCAGCCGCGGUAAUACGUAGGGGGCAAGCGUUGUCCGGAUUUAUUGGGCGUAAAGCGCGUGUAGGCGGCCACGCAGGUCCGCUGUGAAAACUCGAGGCUCAACCUUGAGAUGUCNGUGGAAACCGCGUGGCUAGAGUCCGGAAGANNANAGUGGAAUUCCCGGUGUAGCGGUGAAAUGCGUAGA